Molecule: transfer RNA, 64 nt
Filed under: Monodelphis domestica (gray short-tailed opossum)
Lineage: Eukaryota; Metazoa; Chordata; Mammalia; Didelphimorphia; Didelphidae
Rfam family: tRNA
About the family: Transfer RNA (tRNA) molecules are approximately 80 nucleotides in length. Their secondary structure includes four short double-helical elements and three loops (D, anti-codon, and T loops).
Source: Rfam by way of RNAcentral
CUUUGGUGCAGUAGGUAGCGCAUCAAUCUCCUAAGCUGAAGGUCCUGAGUUCGAUCCUCAGAAG